GUGAUUUGGACAUUUGAAAACACAGCUCCUUCUCCUAGGCUUGAUGGCCUGCAUUAACAAGGGGAAGACCUUCACCAAUCAGCAGAAUCUGGAGGUCUUUCAAACCUUUUCUGGGCAUGCAUCGUUUCUGAGCUUACUGAGGUUACGUAUGUGUUUUGAGGAGGAAGAUUGCAGAAGGGCCACUCUCAUUUCAUCACAUCAAGGACCAUUUUCCAUUGUGGAGUGAGGAAAACAGCCUCCAGGGUUGAAGCUGGGGAAGCUGGCACCAAGCUGUAGCAG
Long non-coding RNA from Lemur catta (Ring-tailed lemur), 279 nucleotides. RefSeq lists it as uncharacterized. The record is from RefSeq and is a predicted model, not a curated record. NCBI's taxonomy places the organism in Eukaryota, Metazoa, Chordata, Mammalia, Primates, Lemuridae. The transcript is spliced from 3 exons.